RNAcentral lists this ribosomal RNA (441 nucleotides) under uncultured bacterium. RNAcentral's name for it is "partial 16S ribosomal RNA". It matches the Rfam family "Bacterial small subunit ribosomal RNA", at positions 338 to 795 of the family's 1533-position model. The record is from RNAcentral.
CCUACGGGAGGCAGCAGUAGGGAAUUUUGCACAAUGGGCGAAAGCCUGACGCAGCGACGCCGCGUGAUUGAUUAAGCCCUUCGGGGUGUAAAGAGCUGUCAGUGGGGACGAAACUUGACGGUACCCACAGAGGAAGCACCGGCUAACUCCGUGCCAGCAGCGGCGGUAAUACGGAGGGUGCAAGCGUUGUCCGGAAUCAUUGGGCGUAAAGAGUUCGUAGGUGGCAUUUUAAGUCUGGUGGUAAAUGCAGAGGCUCAACUCCUGUUAGGCUCUGGAUACUGGUAAGCUUGAAUGCGGUAGAGGUAAAGGGAAUUCCUGGUGAAGCGGUGAAAUGCGUAGAUAUCGCGCAGAACACCGAUGGCGAAGGCAGCGUACCGGCUCCAGACUGACGCUGAGGCACGAAAGCGUGGGGAUCGAACAGGAUUAGAUACCCUGGUAGUC